GUCUAAGGCCAUGCCACCCUGAACAAGCCUGAUCCUGUCUGAUCUUGGAAACUAGGCAGCUACGGCCUGGUUAGUACUUGGAUGGGAGACCACCUAGGAAGACCAGGUGCCACAGGCG
This 118-nucleotide ribosomal RNA is filed under the name Pteropus alecto (black flying fox). Lineage: Eukaryota; Metazoa; Chordata; Mammalia; Chiroptera; Pteropodidae. The record is from RNAcentral.